GGAACAUUCUUAAUGACGUGACUUCCGCCUGUCACACGACUUCCAGGCGUUGCUUGUCGCGGAUGGAUCGGUUAUGUUGAUCGGUGCUCUGUUUGUCUUCCUCUUGUUAUGGAUCGCGAUGGUCUCUGCUAUUCUUCCCUUUUUGGGGUCCUCCUCCUUUGCUGGCAGUUUGGCGGCGUCCCAUUUUGCACUCAAGUCGGGCAUGGGCGCUCGUUGCGCUGGCGCUGUUGAUGGGCUCGCAGUUUCGAUGUCCUUUUUGUGUUCUCUUGGUCUCCUAUUCAAUGGUCUCGCUGUGUAUCCUGUAUGGGUGGCCUCUUGAUUGAGGGUGCCGUCUGCAGCUGGGAUUUCGUGCACUCCUGGAGGGAGGCACCGAUCCACCUUGUCUUUAUCAUUUCGUAAUGCAUUGGAUGCUGUGUUCCGUCUGUUGAAGACGAUUCUUGAUGCCGUGUAUUUCUCUAGCCUCCUUUUAAAUUUAAGCGUGAUUGGAUUGACCUCGGGGUUGUGAAGCUUUGUG
This 514-nucleotide long non-coding RNA is filed under the name Androctonus crassicauda. The record is from RNAcentral. Lineage: Eukaryota; Metazoa; Arthropoda; Arachnida; Scorpiones; Buthidae.